Molecule: ribosomal RNA, 281 nt
Filed under: uncultured bacterium
Lineage: Bacteria
Description: partial 16S ribosomal RNA
Rfam family: Bacterial small subunit ribosomal RNA
Source: RNAcentral
AUUGAACGCUGGCGGCAUGCUUUAUACAUGCAAGUCGUGCGGCAGCGCGGGGGCAACUCUGGCGGCGAGCGGCGAACGGGUGAGUAAUACAUAGGAACGUAUCCUGAAAUGGGGGAUAGCUCGGCGAAAGCCGGAUUAAUACCGCAUACGCUCCACGGAGGAAAGCGAGGGGAUCGCAAGACCUUGCGUUUCUGGAGCGGCCUAUGUCUGAUUAGCUAGNGGCGGGUAAUAGCCACCAAGGCGACGAUCAGUAGCUGGUCUGAGAGGAUGAUCAGCCACAC